RNAcentral lists this non-coding RNA (31 nucleotides) under Rattus norvegicus (Norway rat). Lineage: Eukaryota; Metazoa; Chordata; Mammalia; Rodentia; Muridae. The record is from RNAcentral.
UUGGCUGGUAUCGAUGCUACAAGUAAUCCCC